RNAcentral lists this ribosomal RNA (511 nucleotides) under uncultured bacterium. Its description in RNAcentral is "bacterial SSU rRNA". It matches the Rfam family "Bacterial small subunit ribosomal RNA", at positions 791 to 1301 of the family's 1533-position model. The record is from RNAcentral.
UAGUCCACGCCCUAAACGAUGAAUGUUAGUCGUCGGGUAGCUAGUCUAUUCGGUGAUGCAGCUAACGCAUUAAACAUUCCGCCUGGGGAGUACGGUCGCAAGAUUAAAACUCAAAGGAAUAGACGGGGGACCCGCACAAGUGGUGGAGCAUGUGGUUUAAUUCGAAGAUACGCGAAGAACCUUACCUAGCCUUGACAUAUAUUAGAACACUUUAGAGAUAGAGUGGUGCCUUCGGGAGCUUUUAUACAGGUGCUGCACGGCUGUCGUCAGCUCGUGUCGUGAGAUGUUGGGUUAAGUCCCGCAACGAGCGCAACCCUCGUCACUAGUUACUAACGGUUCGGCCGAGGACUCUAGUGAGACUGCCUUCGCAAGGAGGAGGAAGGUGAGGACGACGUCAAGUCAUCAUGGCCCUUACGGCUAGGGCAACACACGUGCUACAAUGGCAGGUACAACGGGCAGCUAAACAGCGAUGUUAAGCGAAUCCCUUAAAACCGGUCUCAGUUCGGAUUGG